UACGUAGGGAGCAAGCGUUGUUCGGAUUUACUGGGCGUAAAGGGCGCGUAGGCGGCGCGGUAAGUCACUUGUGAAAUCUCUGAGCUUAACUCAGAACGGCCAAGUGAUACUGCAGUGCUAGAGUGCAGAAGGGGCAAUCGGAAUUCUUGGUGUAGCGGUGAAAUGCGUAGAUAUCGUCAAGAACACCGAUAGCGAAGGCAGCUUACUGGGCUGUAACUGACGCUGAUGCACGAAAGUGUGGGGAUCAAACAGG
Molecule: ribosomal RNA, 253 nt
Filed under: uncultured bacterium
Lineage: Bacteria
Description: partial 16S ribosomal RNA
Rfam family: Bacterial small subunit ribosomal RNA
Source: RNAcentral